GAGGCGCAGCGGGGUCUGGGGGGGCCGCUGGCGGCCCCCACCCACGAGGCUGCCCCGCGCCAGCUUCUGCAGCUCGACGGGCACCACGGCGCUGGGGCAGUGCUUCUCGAUGUAGUCCUGGAAUCCCUGCACUCCCAUGCGAGCGCCUGCCUCGGCUGCCAGCAUGCUCCUACAAACCUCCCAGCCUGCACAGAGCAGCAGAGCUGAACUCGUGCCAGGAAAGUGCUUGUCUCCUAAGAGGUUCCCAGAUCAGGACGAUACAUGAAGAAAGCAUGCAGAUAAGGCAUCGUUUGCCCAAACAUGUCGUCAGAAACUGACUUCCUAAAGGUAUGUCUCAGGCUGGAGAAUGCAAACACAGACGUGUGAUAUUUCUCCAUUUCAGAACAGGCAUUAUAAUAUCUCUAAGAUGCAGAUUUCCUUCACAAUUUCUUAAUUCCAGUACUGACAGAGGGAGGGUAAUCUGAAUUCCCAGAUGCACCGUGUUGGAGAACUCUCCAUUCAGUUCAGCAAUUCUGGAAAAUAUAUUGGCCCAGCUAACAGUAUUGGGGAAAAGAAGAUUAUUUCUGCUGUGGUACCACAAGGCAACAGGUCCUGUUUUCAGGGAAGAAUCUUUAAUCCAAAAUGUAUCAGACCAGUUCUUUCUCUUGUAAUAUCCUAAAGGAAAAUAGAAUUAUUCAGCUUUUUUUCACAAUGUAUAGAAAAGUGUGAAGUCAAAACCAAGUCUAAGCUCCUCCUCAGUGGAGGGACAAUGGCUGUCUCUUUAAAGCACACUGGUCCCAGUGCCCUCUGCAAAACAGUGGGACAUCACAGGAAGUUUUUUUGGUGUUAGAGGCUCAGUUUCCCCAGGAAUCAGUAAUUACCACAAGGAGAACUGCAGAGAUGUGGGACAUCUUUACUGCUUGCAGUACCACCACCACACUGCUGACUGCCAGGCAGCUGGCAUAUAAAUGGACUGAAAAAUCCACUGAAAUGCUCUGAUGUUGUAUAGAUGCACAAUUUGAAAGGAUUAUGAGUGUUUGUUUUUAAAAGAAAAUUAAUAAAAGACAUUUAUAAGGCUAUGGAAAAUACUGGUGGUCUGAAAGAAGAAGAGGAAAUUCUCAUUGUUUUUCUCACUGUGUAAGGAACACGGGCAAUCACAGAGGGAGGGAGAUACAGUGUGCAGAAAGCCCCAAACAAGCCCAAAGAAACCAUUCCCUGUUGGAUUUCACUAUGGAUUUCUCCUCAGGUGAGUGGGGAUCGUGGCCCAGCCUGCCCACACCAGUCCUGCUCGCUCCUGUCUCUCAUCAGAGGCACCACAAGUAGCACCCACAUGGUGCUGCAGCACUGAAAAUUUGUGACUGGAAGCAAAUGGCUUGGCAGGAGAGAAAAAAAUAGGUGCAGAGAGGUCCCUGUCCUCAGAAAGCCUGCUGAUCCAAAGCCUUUCUCCUUGGAAGAAGUCAUAUUUACAUGGCAAAUUCAAACGUAACAGUGACAGCGGCAGAAUAUUUCCGAGAAAGCCCCUUAUUAAUAUUUUGGCAGCACGAGAUUGUUUUUUUCCCAAUUGCACAUGUUGCUCCAUCUGCCACAAAGCCAUUGGUUCCAACAGCCUGGCCUUCCCCGUUAAAGGGGCAUCACCAUCACGACACAUCAUGUUUGUGGUGGGGCUGUGAGGAGAGGGAAGUGAUAGGAGUGUGGCUCACGCUGCAGUGGCGUGCCCUGUUGGCGAGGAGUUUGCUGUGAGAGAACAAGCCAGCUGAGAAGGUGUUUCCUUCCUGUUUACUAGUGUGAGAACUGUUAAUUUAGUUGUGUUUAGUACCUUAGCUGGUGACCUGUUCUUAAAGGGUUUGAUCAGAGGGUAGUGGGCUUACAUAGCUUGCAGUAGCAGCAAGGGCAAAACAUUGUUUAAAUUUAGUAGAAUUCUGUAAAUAGGCUUUUAAGAAUCACACUAAACAAGAAGUGGUUCUAAAUGUCAACACCCUGUCCAUUGUUUUGGAGUAUACAGAAGUUCUUUCAUAAUUUAAAAAAAAAAAAAAAUUGAACAUUUUUGUCUUUUGUUCUUCAUUGACAUCACACCAACUUCUCACCAUUCACAGGAACAGGAGGGAGAGUUCCCCAGGCCAGGACAGCCAGGGCACACCAGUCAUCCACAUCCCUUCCCUGCUUCAGCUCAGGAUCCUGUGUCCUGAACCUCAGGUCACCUCCCAGCCACCGUGGAACUGGCUUACCUGGGACAUUUUUGGAGUUUAACAUCACAACAAGUGUGUCUCUGCAAAACACUUUGUUUUUAGAAAAACAUCACAUUUCCACCAAGAUACCUUCCUGAUUUCUUUUUUUUUAAAUCUGAGUUAUAACGAGGGUAAGAGAUACGUGAUUCCUUAAACCCAAAGGAGACAUCCAAUGGAAGAAAGCAAUCUUAAUUCUAAAAUGACUGUUUCAGUGAUGACUUGUAAUCUGUGCAGUUUUAUCUACUUGAUAAUACCCCGCUUAGUGUUAGAUCUAAAAAAAGAAUGAAAUGAGAAAAUCAUUCCUUUGAUAUGCAUUAAGUUAUUCAGUUAGUAAAUUAGUGAAUCUUAUCCUGAGUGUUAUUAGCUAUUAGCAUGUUACACUUCUUGAUGUUGCUCAUGAAGAAUGCAUAUGAAAAUGAGGGAAAAAAUUCCCUUUUGAAGUUCCUGCCACUUGAGUUGUUGACAUUUCUUUUAAUUGGUGAAUGUCCUCUUGAAUGCAGUAUUCCCUCUGUCUGGUUUUAUGAGAGAUUCUUCAUUUUUAAUUUGUUCUCCCAUUGAUUAGACUUUUUUUUGAAUGGGUAGCUCUCAAGAUAAUUAGCCUUUCAAGGGAACCAUGUUCUCCUAAAUAGUUAUUAAUGAGUAUCUCCCCCAUUCAGUACACUUAGGCCUUUUUCAUUAGGGGAAUUUCCAGCUUACACGUGGGCUGGUCGAGCCAGGCCUGGUACCACCAAAGACAGCAGGAAUCACUGCAGAUUUCAGGAAGAAUGAGAUCAGACCCUGGAAGUGAAGAAAGAUCAUUUGCAUUCACUUUGUCUUUGGCAGGUGUCUGUUUUCUAGGAGUACUUACAAACAGUUCUUCAGGAUCCAAGGUAGAUUGAGGAGGGAGUGAAAUGAGUGAAAGAAAACAAGGUGAUUCCAUGUGAACCAGGAUUCCAUCUUCAAAGGAUCCCAUCAGCUGCUGCAGCUGGGCUAAGGAGCCUCACCUGGACUGCAUGGUUCCCAGUGCUGGAAAUGUCAGCUCCCUUUUCUUGAAAGUCAGUGUAUGUUACACAAACAUAAACCCAUUAAACCCAACCACCAUUCUGUAUCUGAAGUUACUUUCUCAAGUAUCUCAAGUAUCUGAAGUUACUUUCCCACUAAAGAUCCAAGGAUCUUCAGUUUAGGAAUUGUUGCCAGUGUUACCCUUGCAGUUAAGAGCACACUGAAUAAUAAAAUACUCCAGCAUGUCACACACAGCUACAGUGGCCUGAUGCCAUUCUGGCUCCUGCUUGGCUCCCCUAAGCCAGUUCUUGUCCCUUCCCUUCCUCUCCUCCUUAACCUUAAACUCUGCCCUGAGCAUUGCUAGGUAUCCUCCUGCUGGAAUGCAGUCUUGACUUUGUAUGUCACACUCUGCCCUUUCUCUUUGCUCUUUCAAAACAGACUGGAACAUCAUCCUCAUCCUUUCUCUGCCUGUCUUUCCCUGUUACCUCCACACGUGGUCAUUAAGGAACCUCUACCACAAACGUUCCUGGACAGACUUCUAUCCAAACAAGAAUCUCAUGGCAUUUCUCCGUGAAAGUGUUCAAGAUGAGUGUCCUAAACCAGGGGGGUUUAGGGUCUUUCAAACUCAUGCCAUCAGUUUAUUUCCCGCUUUCUAUGAACAGUAUGAUCACUGAUUUUUUUGUCAUGCCCAUCUGCUGUCUCGACUUCAGCAGAGGUCACACUAUGGGUCAGCCUGGACUGACUGGAUUUAAAUUUGUCACUUAUUUCUCCAUGGCAGAAAUGGCACAUUUCAAAUAUGUCCUUUUCUAUCCUAACUGAGAACUAAAGCUUUGAACCAGGCUCUGAUGAUCUUAUGGCUCACAUCCAUAACAUUCCUGCUUUCUGGGCUUGACCAAUGCUGUUAGGAUAAUAAAGUCAAAUAAUUUUAUUUGGUUUAUGGCUUUUAUCGUUAGUAAUCUCUUCCACCUCCUUUUGUUUCCUGCUUUUCUGUCAUUUCAGGUAAGUUACUGCUCUUUGCUUUCCCAGUGCCCUCCUUGACCCACAUGCCCUACCCAUCUCUUUCACCAGGAAAUUGCUUGUCCCUCCCAGGGGCAAUAAUUCCAAAGUUUCCUCUGUAGCCAAGAAGUCAUUUCACCCACACAGCUAUCUCCUGAAUCUCCUGUGAGUGUAUCCUUGUUUUCCUGUGCACAGGUACGGUGUUACCGUGAGCACCACCAACGCCGCGGGCUCUUUGCUUCCACCUCCUCCCGCCUGUCUGUCGGUCUGGUUCGUCCCCAGCUGUCACUGCCCUGCCCUGGGGUUGCUCUUUUCAUCCACAUUUAUGCACAGCCAAUUUCAGUGGGUUUUUAUUCCAUACUUCAGCUUUCUGUAAGCUACAGAAAAUAAUAGGUGGCUGUUUUGUCUCUGCUUGGACUGAUUCUGCAAUCCCUGAAGACCAACAUCUUCCUUGCAAUAGACACUGGGCAUUUUUUCAGGAGAAAUAGCUCAACAACUUCAGUACAAAAAAAAAAAAAAAAAAGGGUCAGAAACAUCAACAUCACCUUUCAGGUAGAAAAUCAAUAUGAAAAUAAUUGAAAUUGAAAAACAAAAAAAUUUAAAUAAAACCCAAGGUGAUCCAACACAGGUUGUAAAAGUCAGAAUAAAUGGCCAACCAAACAACCACUGCAGAGUCAUAACUUAAAGAGGAGCUUGACUCUGGGGAAGAGCAAUGUUUAUAGAGAGGCUAAUUUAAUUUUAUUGAAUUCUAAUAAAAUACCUAUUAAAAGUUACAAGUUGUGGUCCAAAAUUCUGCAGCUCAGAGGAGAGCUAGCACAGGCUUUGAACUGGCCUGACAUAGUGAUCUAUUUCUGAUAUAUAAAAUAAGCUAUUUCAAGAGCCCAUUUCCAGGCAAGCUGCCUGGGUGGAGCCCUGCCCUCACUGCAGUCAACAGUUUUGCUGGUGACACUGGUGGAAUGAUAAAUGUUUUUAGCCUGUGCAAGAUUAAAUAUUGGGCCAGGAAACCCGUAUCAGUUCUGUUGCAUGCAAUAACAGUGAUUCUAAACACAAUAUUUGCUUAGGAGGAUUACUAAAUGGAAUUUGAAAAGUGAUUUAUUAACAGAAAUUUUUUUUUUUUUUGGUUUAUUCCCCCAGGUUUCCUAAUUGUGCCAUGUUACUUUGUACGGUAUCUGCCUCUGCUGUACCAGGGCAGAAUAUGCACUUAAACCUUUGGGCAUGAGGGGUGAGUCGUUCCCAUUCCCCAUCCCACUGGAAAGUCAACAAAAGCAAGCCUUUAAUAGUGUGAAUUCCAUUAUGGCCCAGCUUAGCAAGAACCUAAAGCCUGCAAGUGCUAUGAUAAUUUAUCUUUGAACUCGUUAGUGGCGCGGCAUAAUUAACAAGUAAGCUGUAGGAACACGCCGCCGCUCUGUAUUUACACGGCAUUUGCCGUGCAGUUGCGGUAUAAUUACAGAGAUUAUACCUGCUCUCUAGAAUAAGAGUACAUGGUGUACCUCAUUUUGUGCCAUUUCACACCAGUGGAGCAGAGCACAGCGUGGUGGAGUUGAACAAAUAUUUCAUUCUGCUGUAGGUGGCCGGGUGUGGAUCUGCACAGAGCGCUGCUAUUCAAACCUGCGCCGCGGUUUCGGGCUGCUCGGGGUGGCAACCUGACUUCUGGAGCUCAAGUGAUUUAUAUUUUGGAAUGCUGCCCUUUCGGUGAUGUCAGUGGACUUGAAUAUGCAGAUUUGAAAACAGGCAAGGUUUUCCUGUUUUCAUAGUGGACAGCAAGAGACAAUGGAAGAGAUGCCUAUCCGUGCCCCAGUUAUGGUCACAAACAUCAUCACCCAUGAAUUUCGUGACUUUUUCACUUCCAUUUGCCUACAACCAUCACAGAGUUCUGGGCUGGCAGCUGCAGCAGCCAUUUACAGUAGCUGAAAUACCAGCAGAGAAUUUCCCCUGCACACCACCCAGAGGCAAGGCCUGUAUUUUACAAACGCCUUCAAAGCAAACAUUUCAACUAUGAGACUUGGGUUUGAAAUUCAAACUCUGGAGUAUGACAGCACUUGGUGCCUGAGAUGAUUUUACCUCCUUUUCCAAGUUGUCAGAGUCACUCUAAUGCUUUUCUUUGUUGGAGGGCACAUGGUAACAACCCCAGGUCCUGCUGAACAGUGCAAUCAUUCUUUUAAACUUUCAGCUUAAAAGACAGUCUUUUACAGUCUGAGAAGGGCAGUUUCCUCCAUCUAAAAAAAUGGAGAAAUGAGAGCUUUGCACUGACUCCAGCACGGCCCAGGUCGGGCUCUUCAGCUUGGGUUUUGAUACACCCUUGUUUUUCAUUCAAGUCUAACAAUAACCAGGAGAAUCCUGCCAAUAUUUCUGGGAAUGAGGUAAUUUUUAAAUGGUGAAAUUGUGCAUCAUUUCAGUCAUAAUUUGGAACCCAACCACUUUAUCUGCCACUGAAAGCCUCAUCUCUCACAAGGGAUGUUUUAUGAGACAGAAAUUGUAAUGACGGGAUGAGACAAAAGCUCUGGCGAGGAGCAGACUUGAGUUGUGAAGUGGUAACAAAAAAAUGUUCUCUGUAGGGUUGGAAAAGCUGAUCUUCUAGUUAGAAUGGAAAUUUACAGAUGCAUGUGAGCUGCAGGCAUCUCCGUGAGUGUGUGUCCCCAAGUCUUAAACAACGUUCAGUGAAAUGUGAUUUCUACAUGAAUUUUCUGUGUUCAGAGGCAGGAUUGUUCUCAGGGAGAAUACUCAAAAUCGGCUCUUUUGAUGUUUUGUUCACAGAAACAGACACGUGAUGCAAGUUCAUAUACACAGGGAAUGGAACUGGGACAAAUGUUUGAAGACUUCUCCCAACAAAUUGCUCACAAAUGAUUUACAGCAGGAGUUACGUGCAGAGUGAUUACAACACGUGUGUCUGGAAAAGAAAUGUUAAAAGGAAAUCAAUCUGCUUGUGGACAAAUAAUGAAAAGAGGAAAAGGAAAAAUUCCUCUAACAAAUACGAAACUGCAAAUUAUUCACUCAGCUCAGUUGGCAACAACCAACUCUUGUGGUAGUAGGAGCUUGUAGAGUAGGAGGUAUCUGUGUGAAGAAUGAUUGAUUUGAUAUCUUAUAUUGCAAUUCUGGAAGGGGUUCAACAUCUAAUUUCAAAGCCAUUUUCCUCCUUUUACCCAGUAAAGAAAACAAAAUGAUAGUUGAUGUCUGUGAGCUGUUUUGGGCAGAUAGGAUCUAUUUUGUGUCCUCUCUGGACACUGACAAUGGCUGGCUCGUAAGGAAGAGCAGUUAUUUAUGAGAAAAGAUCUCUCUUGCCAGAAAAAACAAACAAACAAACAAAAAACAAAACCUGCCUGAGGAAGGAUAUUACCACUGUAAUCCUUUUUGCAUCUUCCCAGAAAAGACACCUGGGUCUGAACUCAGUGCAUCUUUGGGUUGUGGAGCCUUGUGUAAGCUGCAUCUCCACCAGCCCACCUCUCAGUCCACAGUAAUAAAACAAUCACUGAUUUCCUUCCCUCUUGGAAGAAUACAAAACACAUUUUGGACAUCUCUCACCUAAAACCACCUUUUGUCUCUCCUUCCCCACUCCUGGGAUGUAGGCAGCCGCCCUGUGAGAGGCUCUGGAAUGCUGCAGUGGGACGCCAGCAGUGUUGUCUUCUGCUCAAGACAGAGAGUGAGUGUAGCAUGCUCUGUUUAUGCCUGUGGAGUGGUGGAUGUGAGUGCAGCAUUCAGAUCUCCUUAACUGCUUACACGUGUAUUCUUGGUUCAAUAUGCAAUUCCUAGUUUAAUUCCUGAGCAGGCACAUGCUGUCUUCCCAAGGCAUAGCAGAUGCGAGGGAGUCCACUUCAUCUCUACUUCUUUACUUCACAAAAACCUUAAAAUGCUAAAGCCAUAAAUAGGCAUUACAGCACAAUCUUUGGGUGAAUGAUCUCCAACAUUGCUGCAGAUCUUAGUCAUAGUGAAAGCUUUUACAAGCUACUUUGAGCUAAUGGCAGAAUAGUUUUCAUUUAAAGCAGGGAUGUGUUCCUUCCCACAGAUGCUAAUUGCCAUAAUUCUAUUGUAAGUUCUGGGCUUAGUUCUGGGCUGAGCUAACUCCUUAUAACUUAACGCUAAUCAUUGGCCAGAGAUUAAUUUUACUAUUUCUGAGGGUUUGGAGAAAAAGUUACUGGGACUGAUACACUUCCAUGUCCACCAAAGGCAACAGUGGAAACAAGGUGUAUUUCUGCAAGAAUGUUCUAGGCAACCUCUUCAAAAACAGAAGGAUGUGCUGCAGAAGGUGAUGUUCAGGAGCCAUUUCACCAGCCCACAAGGAUACAGAGUGAGGGUAUCUGCAUCCAUCUGAGCUGUGCCCAAACCACUUUGAGUUCCUGCCCCUUAUACCUUUCCUCCCAUGCUGCAAAUCCACAUUAGAUUCAGGACUGCUUGAAAUGUCUGUGGAUGGCAAUGCCAGUCCACAGCUGGUGAAUGUCCUGCUCACCACUGGGUGCUUUACAGAAUCACAGGAUAUGCUGGGUUGGAAGGGACCCACAAGGAUUGAGUCCAACACUCAGCCCUGCACUGACCAUCCCCUGUGCCCCAGAGGAUCAUCCAAACCCUCCUGCAGCUCUGGCAGCCUUGGGGCUGUGCCCACUGCCCUGGGGAGCCUGUUCAGUGCCAACCACCCUCUGGGGGAAGAACCUUUCCCUGAGAUCCACCCUGAGCCUGCCCUGACACAGCUCCAGCCAUUCCCUGGGGGCUGUCCCUGGUCCCCCCAGAGCAGAGCUCAGUCCUGCCCCUCCUCUGCCCCUGCCCAGGCAGUUGGAACUGCAGGGAGGUCUCCCCUCAGUCUCCUCUGCUCCAGCUGAACACACCAAGUGCCCUCAGUGUCCUCACACGGCUUCAAAUCCAAGGCCCUUCCUGCAGCACCUUCCUCCCUGGGACAGGAGCAGGGGCACACAGCAGCUCAUCACCUGCACAGGACUUGUCAGAGGACAGCUGAUGUGUUGGUGGACCAACUUCCACAGUUUCACUGCAGAAGAGCUUUAAUUCUGACUAUAACACGAAUAUAGACAGAUUCAGUCUACAAACUGCAGAUAAAUAUGUAGGUUCUUUGAUCCUGGUUACAAAAUCCACCUCUGCCCUUUGCCUUUACCCUUCCCAUUCCCUGCAAUUUGGGGAAGUUUGCUUAGAAAGUGCAAUAAAAUGCUCACCUGCUGCAGGUGCCCCUAAGCCCACCAGCUUUUUUGCUUUUGUUUAAUUUGCUACGUGUGAUUAAUUCCAGUGAGGUUCUGCCAGGCAGAAUCUUCAGCUAAAAAUACCCUGAGUACACGUAGUUUGCUGCAACACUGUCGGGAAGUAAACACAACCAUAGUCCUCAUAAUCACUGUUUUCCCAAAGAACUGCUGCUCCCAGCAGACAGCCUAUUUCAGGCUGUAAAUAGAAAUCAGAAAAUGAGAUUUUCUUUCCCUAGUAGUUCUCCUGGGAAUUUUAGUGCUUUCCUCUGUGCACCUGCUUUGGGUGUUGGUGGCAGCCACAAAUAGAUACCUGUCUCUCAGAGGAUGGGGCACUGGAGCCUGCUCUGAUACACUGAAACACCAGUGGACAUGGGACAUCAUUCCCACUAGUACCAAUAUGUUUGCUGAUAUAAAAUCACAUGUUAGAUCAAAACCUGAUCAGCAUAGCCUGAUUUACUCCAUGAUUCCAGUGACAGUUCGCUCCAAAUUCAGGCUUGCAAAGUGAGUAAAGGUAUUUCCCAGCUUCUUAUUCCUCCUGUUCCAGUAGUGGCAAUACAUUUGCCACUCUCAGUUUUGCAGACUGCCUGUUCCCUGCUGUGGAUGAUCCAAGUCCAGUCAUGAGCACAGGCACUCCUGUCAAUACCAGGGAUGUCUGGCCUUGCCUCCAGUUCACAGCACAGACACUGCCAUCUAAAUCCAUAUCAUAUGGAUAUAAUGCAAGACGUUGGCACAGCCUUUAAACCUGAGGAGUUCUAAUUAUCAUUCUUCUAUCAUCAGUUCUUCUAUCAGCUUUAUCAUUCUUCAUGUAUUAUACCUUUUUUUUUUUUUCUGGAAAAAGCUUUGUCUUUAUUAGGAAUUCAGGAGAUGAGGUUUUGCUACAGCAACAUGCGGAUCUCAGGACUUGGGAAUGAAUCUUCAGUGUCAGAUGCGCUUUUCUGUUACCUCUAGUGGUAUUGAGAAGGAUUUUUUGUGCUAGGAAAUACCUUCAUUAUUUCGUGACAUGGGUGAUAUUUAGGCCUGUAUCCCCUCAUUUGAUUGAAUGCUACUCACAGGCAUCCUUUGACCUGCUGAGUAGCCAGUAGUUUAUUUCAGACAACUGUAGCAGUAGUGAGAAGCAUUCUCUUCCUGCCUAAAGAAAUUAAAAAAAAAAUUAACCUUGGAAAAACAUGAUUCAUGCUAUUUUCUUCACUGAAGGAAAAGGAGUGGGCUUUUUUGGGUACAAACCUAUUCAGUAAAAGAUGCCUUAGUCAACAGGGGUCAGCUUGAGAGCAGCACUGCGAGCAGACAAAAGAUUUUCAGAGAAUAUGUGAAAAAACCAGUUGGCUUUAACUAAAUGAAUAGAAACCCCACUUUGUGUUGUACCAUCACGCGUGGUAAUCCUGACAUUUCAACUUGUUGUCGUAGUCAUCCUCUGUCAUUCUCUUAGCUUUGUCAUUUACAGCAUUUAUCUCACUUAGCUUUGUCAUUUACAGCAUUCAUGUGCUUGACUUCAAGGAGCCUGAUGCUGUUCACUUGUUGCUUGGUUUGACCUUAAAAAUGUGAUUAAAAUGGCAAAGACAUUUAGAAAGUUGUGGAAGUAUUAUCCAGGAAAAAUUCUUGAGGCACAAUGGAAGAUGUAAACCCUUGGAUUUGCUUUGAAAAGGUAAAAGAGGCAGUGCCCCUGUGCCUCUCCUUGCCCACCCCCAGCUGCAAUUGCCCUUGCUGACACUGCUUCCUCUGCACUUUUUCAUGGACUCUCCCUUCCUUUUACAGGAUCUUCAUCCUCACCCCUCUUUAGUCCUUCAGAAACAGCAGGAGACCCAGCUACUACCUGUACCCACCUUCUUGCUCUGUCACCAGCUGAUAACAUUUUUAACUAUUAAUGGUAAUUACUUACCUGGACAUGUUUCAUCUCCAUCCUUUAAUCCCACAGUUUCCUCUGUAAAGCCUCUUGUCCCUGCACUCCCUUCUCCUUGAACUACUAUGGCUCCUCAAAAUUAGAGGAGCAAUUAGAUGAUGCAGCUGAUUAGCAACCCAGGACACACUGGAACAUCGUUAGCCAUCACCAGACCUGUGAUAAUUCGGGAGCCUUUUCUCCAGAAACCCCUUGGUCUCUUCAUGUACUGAGAAGUGGGAAGUGGGGAGUGUUUCCCUUCCCUUUGCUUGUCCCUUCCUGCCAUAGAGAACAUGACAGUUGCAGUCCUAGGGAUGUUUACAACUUGUACUUGCAUUUUCCAAGUCCUUAUUACCCUCUCCUUACUCAGUGGGUGGGAGGCCCUGGCACAGGAUGCCCAGAGAAGCUGUGGCUGCCCCAUCCCUGGAAGUGUCCA
This is a long non-coding RNA of Myiozetetes cayanensis, 11667 nucleotides long. RefSeq lists it as uncharacterized. The transcript has 4 exons. The record is from RefSeq and is a predicted model, not a curated record. Lineage: Eukaryota; Metazoa; Chordata; Aves; Passeriformes; Tyrannidae.